This 94-nucleotide ribosomal RNA is filed under the name uncultured Flavobacteriaceae bacterium. Its description in RNAcentral is "partial 23S ribosomal RNA". It matches the Rfam family "Bacterial large subunit ribosomal RNA", at positions 1 to 94 of the family's 2925-position model. Lineage: Bacteria; Pseudomonadati; Bacteroidota; Flavobacteriia; Flavobacteriales; Flavobacteriaceae. The record is from RNAcentral.
AAUAAGUUAAGUAAGGGCGUAUGGCGGAUGCCUAGGCUCUCAGAGACGAUGAAGGACGUGAUAAGCUGCGAAAAGUUACGGGGAGAAGCACAUA